Molecule: ribosomal RNA, 254 nt
Filed under: uncultured bacterium
Lineage: Bacteria
Description: partial 16S ribosomal RNA
Rfam family: Bacterial small subunit ribosomal RNA
Source: RNAcentral
UACGUAGGGUGCAAGCGUUGUCCGGAAUUAUUGGGCGUAAAGAGCUCGUAGGCGGUUUGUCGCGUCUGCUGUGAAAACUCGGGGCUUAACUCCGGGCCUGCAGUGGGUACGGGCAGACUAGAGUGCGGUAGGGGAGACUGGAAUUCCUGGUGUAGCGGUGAAAUGCGCAGAUAUCAGGAGGAACACCGGUGGCGAAGGCGGGUCUCUGGGCCGUAACUGACGCUGAGGAGCGAAAGCGUGGGGGAGCGAACAGG